AGAUACAUCUAGCACAUGUUUACAUAUGUGAGAGUGACAACACACACAUCUAUUCUACACCAUUUAUCCUACUACACUAGUCAACAAGUUUGGAAGCUAGCUAUUUUGGUGAUGGAGCCAAAGGAUCUCUAGAGGAGCAUCUUCUUUCUUUCUCCCUCACUCUCUUUCUCGAUUAGGGAGCAGCCACAAGACUCCAAAGCUGCAGCCAUGUACUUGAAAAUUAACACAAGAAUAAGGGUUAGAAGAUGACUCACAAAUAAAAAGGAAGGGAGGCACAAGCUCAUUUAAGAAAGAGAAGUAGUAGAGCUUGAGAUCAGCCCCUUUUUGGCACAUUCUCAACUAGCAUCAAUGAGGAAUCAAGACAAAUGAGCAUGGUAGAAUGAGCCUCUGCACAAGCCCAAUAUAGACACAAGUCAAAUCCUCUUCUUCCCAUCGUUCAAGGCUGAGGAAACAGCCAAGAGAGACAGCCACACACACACCACCAAAGUAGUAAGAAUAACAUGAACAUGAAGCUCAAAAGAGGUAGAGCUGACAGCCCCAAAAUAGGAGCCUUUGCCUCCAAGUCUCAAGCACAAACAGCCAAGAAUAGAGCCUAUAUAAGCAGCCUCAUCUCCCUUCUCCUCCCCUCAUUUUCGACACAUAAUUUUCACCAAAUAAUUCAAGAGUGCAGCAAGGAGUGGAGGAGGAGCAAGGAGGAGUUUUGAGGCAGGACAUCAGUCCCACCCGAGAGGAAUCAUCGAGCUAGUCCUACAUGUAUUUAUAAAUGUGCAGGUUGAACGUCAAGAGGAUGGAGAAAUGAUCGGAGUCGAUGCUACUAAAUAAUCUAGUGGAUCUUUUCACGAUUCGUGUCUUCAUACACGAUGUCGCCUUGUAUGGACUUAUUCCGCUGCUCUUUUGUGAAGUGAGACAUCUUAGAAUCUCGCCAUUGGACUCUGAUUUAUUGAUGUAAUAUUUAUUCUAGUUCUAAGACCAUGUAAUGGUACAUUUGGCUUCUAUUCUAUGAUAUGAAUCGACUUGGCCCUUGGGCAUAUUCACAAA
This is a long non-coding RNA of Salvia hispanica, 1038 nucleotides long. RefSeq lists it as uncharacterized. The record is from RefSeq and is a predicted model, not a curated record. NCBI's taxonomy places the organism in Eukaryota, Viridiplantae, Streptophyta, Magnoliopsida, Lamiales, Lamiaceae.